RNAcentral lists this ribosomal RNA (473 nucleotides) under uncultured bacterium. RNAcentral describes it as "bacterial SSU rRNA". It matches the Rfam family "Bacterial small subunit ribosomal RNA", at positions 335 to 801 of the family's 1533-position model. The record is from RNAcentral.
ACUCCUACGGGAGGCAGCAGUAGGGAAUCUUCCACAAUGGGCGCAAGCCUGAUGGAGCAACACCGCGUGAGUGAAGAAGGGUUUCGGUCUCGUAAAGCUCUGUUGUUAAAGAAGAACACGUAUGAGAGUAACUGUUCAUACGUUGACGGUAUUUAACCAGAAAGUCACGGCUAACUAUGUGCCAGCAGCCGCGGUAAUACGUAGGUGGCAAGCGUUAUCCGGAUUUAUUGGGCGUAAAGAGAGUGCAGGCGGUUUUCUAAGUCUGAUGUGAAAGCCUUCGGCUUAACCGGAGAAGUGCAUCGGAAACUGGAUAACUUGGUGCAGAAGAGGGUAGUGGAACUCCAUGUGUAGCGGUGGAAUGCGUAGAUAUAUGGAAGAACACCAGUGGCGAAGGCGGCUACCUGGUCUGCAACUGACGCUGAGACUCGAAAGCAUGGGUAGCGAACAGGAUUAGAUACCCUGGUAGGAUAGCG